This 253-nucleotide ribosomal RNA is filed under the name uncultured bacterium. Its description in RNAcentral is "partial 16S ribosomal RNA". It matches the Rfam family "Bacterial small subunit ribosomal RNA", at positions 524 to 776 of the family's 1533-position model. The record is from RNAcentral.
UACGUAGGGGGCAAGCGUUGUCCGGAAUCAUUGGGCGUAAAGAGCGCGUAGGCGGUCCGGUAAGUCCGCUGUGAAAGUCCAGGGCUCAACCCUGGGAUGCCGGUGGAUACUGUCGGGCUCGAGUCCGGAAGAGGCGAGUGGAAUUCCUGGUGUAGCGGUGAAAUGCGCAGAUAUCAGGAGGAACACCAAUGGCGAAGGCAGCUCGCUGGGACGUGACUGACGCUGAGACGCGAAAGCGUGGGGAGCAAACAGG